CGUAUACUCCUUCCGUCCGGAAAUACUUGUCAUUGAAAUGAAUGCAUCUAGAUGUAUUUUAAUUGUAGAUACAUCCAUUUUCAUCCAUUUUGAUGACAAGUAUUUCCGGACGGAGGGAGUACAUA
Molecule: non-coding RNA, 125 nt
Organism: Triticum aestivum (bread wheat)
Lineage: Eukaryota; Viridiplantae; Streptophyta; Magnoliopsida; Poales; Poaceae
Source: Rfam